CCCAAACUCAAACCUAAAUCAAACCUGCAAAGAUCUGAACCAAACCAAACCGCAAAGAUCCGAACCAUACCAAAUGGUACUCGAAUGUCCACCUCUGAUCAAAUGUGAAAAAUGUUGUUGAUAACAAAAUAUAUAUUAUUUAUAAUAUUUAAAUACAAUAUAUUUAUAAAAAUUCACUCCGCGCAGGACGCAGAUUAUCAGCUAGUUUAAAAUUAUGCAAAGACAACUUUUAAAAUUGAUGAACUUAUUAACGAUACUAAAUUGGUGGUUUUAAAUUUUUUUUUUUUUUUUGCUAAAAGUGGUUUUUAAUAUUGACUACACAUAAAUGAUAUAUUGAUACUAAAUUGGUGUUGUUUCGAACAGAGAUAAAAAUGUACCCGUACCUAUAUUAGUAGACGGAUUUCUAAUCUUUCUAUAUAAGCACAAGAACAAUUCUCAUACUUUAAUUGAUCUUUUUGUUCGACUAUUUUUUUUAAUCAAUGUUUAUUUCGAAUUAACUUCGAUGAAAAGUACCAUUGAAGAAAUUUGAACAACAAAGUAGAACCCAUAUAAAUAACCAGAGUUGAAUGAACUUUCGGAUCACCUAACCAUCUCCUGGCUGGCAAGACGACACACCCGCAUGCAAAAAGAUCUAAAACAUGAUCUGCUAGAAAAGCGGCAUCUCACUCGGACGUUGGAAUGGCCAUGCUCAGGGCCGGCUUAGGGACAAGGGCGAGCAGCAGUGGCGGUGCCAGGAUCAAUUUACACGGGGGUCAAAAUAAUUUUAUGGGGUCAAAAUUUAUUAUUAAAUGGGGUCAAAAUAAUUUUUCUUUAACAAAAACAAAAAAAAAAUUAAAAAAUAGUGGGGUCAGUUGACCCCACUCCCUCCGCCCCUAGCGAGUAGUGCACCCGGCCCAGGGCCCAGAGACAAAGGGGUCCAUGUACACAAAUUAUCAUACUGUUCUCGACAUAUCGUAAUAUUGUUCUAUAAGUUAUAAAGGAAGCAGACAACAAAAUUAUUUUAAAAGAAGGUUGGACUUUACAGCAUGUUUAUCCGGGGUCUUUAGUGAGAUUCUUAGUGCGUGGGCCCCCAUAAAACUCUUAAGGAUCAGUUACAAAAACUACUAAUUAAGAACCGAUUUUAGUGAGUUUCUUACACUGUUUGCGGGUCCCACUGACUCGUGGCGGCCCGCGAUUGGUUUGCUUUUUAAUUUUUUUUUUUUUAGAUAAAAAAAAACCUAAAAAACCCAUUUGAGUUUUUUAGGGAUAAACAUGGUCUUAUGAGCCUUACGAUUAGUACCCGUUUUAAAACAAAAAAAUUUGAUCGUUUAAUUAGAACCAAUGAAUGAUUGAUUUUAUCUUUUUGUUUUGUUUUGUAAACCUUCGUUUUCUUUGCUUUUACAUUGAAAUAAAAUGAGUGAUAUGUUUGUAGUUUUUUUUGGUCUUAACUAUAUUUGUAGUUAUUAUAACGUCUUACCGUAUUUUUAACCUAUGCAAAAUUUAUAAUAUUCAUUAUAUAAACAUUUUAUAUACGUUCACGUAUACAUAAUUAUAUGGUAUUCCGGCGCUGACUAACAUGCGUAAUAUUUAGAAGUACACUAUUAUGAGAUUUUUAUACAAAAAGUUGUUAUAGAAAUGUACUUAGUAAUUACUAAUCUAGACAACCUAAUGGAUAAAAUAGCAGAAAUUAGGGGAAAACAGGUUUAUAGUCUUACUUGGUUUUAUCAUAAAAAUAAAAAUUUUGUUAUAUUAAAGGGCCAAUUUUUUAUUUUUGCCCUAGGGCCUCCAAUAUGUUUGAGCCGGCCCUGGCCAUGCUACUAAGCGCUCUAGACAUGCAUCUGAGCUGUGAGCACGCUCGCAGGUACUCCAGAAUAUUACCAGAGUUUCCGGUGUACAGCCAAAGAGAAUGUUUACAGCUACGGAGUUAUACUUCUUGAGUUUUCCUCUGGUAAGAAACCUAUCGAUCUAGAGGAGUUUAGAGAAGACAAUAACCUUGUCGGGUGCUCGAAACAGCUAAAGAGGCAUAGAGAUUCUUGACCCGGAGCUUGUAACCCCCAAAUCAGGCGAUGUUGAGCUGUUUCAAUACUGGAAGAUCGCGUCUCAAUGCUUGGAUGAUCAACCGUUUAGGCGGCCAACAAUUAUUCAAGUGAUGGCCAUGUUCAAAGAGCUAAUUAAGGCUGAUACAGAGGAAAAGAAAAGCCUCGAUUUCUUAAGAUAGAAGAAUCUCUGAAUCGGAUGCUCAUGUUAAGUCGUUCCAAGUUUUUGGUGUUAGUGUGUAUAUAUCAGAAGAAGCUUCAUCUAGAAGGUCAUGUUAAGUCGUUCCAAGUUCUCUUCAGUUUGUAACUUAUGUAUCCUAGAGUUUGUUAACUUUAGUUUUACUUCAUUUUGGAAAAGAGAAUGAAAGGAUUAAAACAAUGGAAUAAUCAUAUAUAUGAUUAUUCCAUUUUAUAGUGAAAUAUAAACUAUAUUCUAAAAUGAAUUUUGAAAUGAAAAAUGAAUAGAGUUAAAUAAAGUGCUUAAAUUAAGUUGUGAGGACUGCAUAAAAAUAUCUAUCUAUUACAAUAAAGGAAGUUUGCCUCUCUCCACAUGCCGGCACGUCAGCAAGGAGGAUUGGACGUUUUCUGCCACCUGUCAUCACCUAAAGUAAGUUUAUGUUUUGAUCGAGAUCUGAAAAUUUAGUUCGCUUCGUAUGCUGGGCUUUGUUAAAACUUUGAAUGUAAUUUUUUCUGGGAUUUUUUGUUUUGUGAUGAAGUAAGGCCCACUAAAUGAUGCCUUUCUUUCUACUUGGAUCAUUAAUUGAAUGGAUUCAGAAGUCUGAAACCUAACGAUUCUUUUUCCACCUCCCGUCACGUAACCCCUGCCCGUUAUGGCAAAGAAUCAACAUAACCCGCUAAUCACACUUUCUCCUCUUCAUUGCAUGUUUAAUUUCUCGAUCCUGAGCUUUUUCCAGAGUAAAUAUAUAGAUACACCUUCUCAUUGGCCUUUCAAAUACCUCUAAACAUUUUUCCGAUCGAUUUUUAAUUUGCAAGCUUAGACAAAUUGAAGGCAGGCCGGUGCAAGUAGGUGGUACAGACGCGACUGCUCCAGUUUUUGGAGGCUAUGAAUGUCAAAAAGAGGCCAGUUGAUUUGGGGGGGGAGGGGAUUGAUAUGCUGCUGCUAGAUUCCAAGGGGACGACCGCAAGCUCUAUGCGGCAGAGCCGUUGGCGCUCGACAUCUGCAACCUCGAACUCAGGGAGAAUGCUCUUCACGAGUUGUCUAAGAAGAGAGAGAUCUUUCAUGAUUUGGCUCCACUGUUGUGGUAAUCUGUUGGUACUGUUCCUUCUCUUCUACAGAUACACUUCGUCCAUUAAAUCUGAGUGGAACCUUCACAUGCUGAAAACAGAAUCGAACUAUCACAAUUACACUUUAGCAGCUGAGAGUGGGAAGAAGGCGAUGCAAGAAGUUCUCUUGAACUGGUAUAAACAAAUCUCAAAAGUUCAUAACAUACAUCGGUCCCAAAACCUGGGCUUUUUUCAUCGUUUUCUUAACUUUUCAAGACGGAUAAUUUUAUGUUAGGAAAGAUUAUGUGAUUGCACAUCAAUGGAGGAAAGCUUAAGAAUCCCUGGUCAGUAACAUAUCACCUCAAAAUCUUAAACAGAGGAGGCAUGGAUGCCAAUGAGAACCUAAGCUCUCAGUUCUGUAUCAUCCUCUCUUGAUGUUUUUGAUGUUGCUAACGCCAGCCUUCUUACUUCCAUUGAUCUGAGUUAGCUAAUUCAUUUGAAUUUACAGAUUUGUAUUAAAUAUUAUUCGUUGUUUUGCUGAAAAUUUACCCUUUCUUCUGUCAGUUUCGUUGAAAUUCAAUAAUGAUGCAUGUGCUAAGAUCAACUCCAUGAUCAUCCCAUGCUGUGAAGACUUGAUAGAGCCCAAGAGUGAUCACAGUCACAAGGUCGUAGAGAUCAAAAUCAGCGCAUGGAAAUAUCUUCUUGAUGAAAACUUGUGGAUGAACCUUCGUGUUCAACGCCCAUGAAAAGACCAAACGACAUACCAAGCAUUGAGUCCGUUGAGGAACUUAGAAUUCCAGCAUCUGAGACUUACUAAAGGGUUUCAACUUUCAAGAUGGGAAACUGUUGAAGCAGGCCAGUGGUGAUGCAAAGCAGCAGCACCAGCAGCAGCAACACCUUAUACGUGCUUCCUCUGUUUACGAAGCAGCUGUGUCGGACUCAAGAUCUACCCUCUCUCGGCUGUUAACUGAGACCAAAGGUUAUUAUUGUGUCAUACUCUACAGAGAGAGUAUUGUUGCAUACAUGUCAACGUAUUUUCUUCGUGGAGGUAGUUUGAGGAUUUUACAAAGUCUUUAUUUGGUUAGUUAAGAUUUGUAUUGUUUAUUAGUUGGAACCAAAGAAAUUAUUAUCUUAUGAAUCAGUAUAUUAUGAGUCGUGUUAGUUGAAAUUACAAGCAAAUCUAUUAAGCUUUAUGGUUUCAGAUAGGUCAUGAGCUUGAGAUUAGCGAUUCCUAAUGGUAUAGUUCCAGGGAGAUAAUGCCGGUAAGAAAGAUUCUGGGAUUAAUCGACCCUAUGUGGAGAGUGUGUUCGACAACUCGGUGAUCACCCUUAUAGCAACGCAAACGUCCCACAAGCAGUAAUUAAUACCUUUCAUUCAGUUACUUAAAACUUUGAGAGAGACUUGGGUUAUACUAGAUUUGAAAGCUAAAAGACCCGCUUCAUCAUCGGGAUGAGACGCAGCACGGCAGCAGCUCCCGUGGGAUUUAGAUAUGAACAAAAAAUAAUGGCGGUAAGAUGAUGAGAUAGAAAGAAUAAGAGUUCAUGGUGUUGUUUAAAUAUAACUACUGAUGUGAAACAAUAUUUGGCAUGCGUGAAAAGAAAAUACAAAGAGAGAUACACCAAGGUCUAAUCAGAAGUUUAAUAUCCAAUGAAAGUCAUUAAAAUAAACAAAGAUAAAGUGAAACUGUGAAAGAUAAGAAAUCUAGUGUUGAUGUCCAUCAAAAUUAUAUGUUCCAUCUGCAAACAAAAUGUUACUAUCUAUGUAAAUUCAUACGUCACACAUGAAUAGUCGUUAGAAGCAGUGGCGUGCCUAUGGUAUAAAAAGGAUUUGUUCCAUGUAGGCAUGGCAAUUCAGAAAAUGAUUGACCAAUUCAACGUUGAAAUAUAACAUGUCUUCCUUAAAGCACAUCAUUAUCGUUUUUCUAUCCAGGAGCAGCUCGAUCCAUUCAUCUUCAGUUUUCGUCAUUUACUUUUAAAAUAGUAUUUUCAUGCUGUUUUUAAAAUAUUUUUUAAUGUUCUCUUACUUCACAAAAUAUGUUUACUUCUAAAACAAUUUUUGACUUUCUUCUCUAUCAAAUUUUUAAUAUACUUUUACUUCAGAAAAUAUGUUUACUUCUAAAACAAUGAAUUAAUCUAUUUAUAGAGUAAACACCAAUUUCUACUCUAUUAAAGAGUGAAAAUAUAGUAAAAUUUGAACUUUUUUUACUUCAAACUCAAUUUAAGAAUGAAAAAUAGAAUAGAAUUGGAAAUACUUUUAAAAAAAAAAUCUAAACAACAAAAGAAACAUGCAGAACAAUAAUUUACAUCGAAAGUACGACAUAAUAUGACAUAUAAUAACAAUAAUUUCCAUUGUUUAAUUAUUUUGUAAGAAUAUAAAUCAACAAUAAACAUUUUUUUACCAACAGCAGUGAAAUAUCUCUAACAAGAUUACAAUUCUAGAAGAAAAAAAACAAUUAGGAAUCUAGGAAGCCAAAAUAUGAAAAGAUAUAUCAUAAUAAAAGAAAAGUGAUCAUGAUGUGAAAGUGAACUUACCAUAAAUCAUGAAAUAAACACAUAAA
This is a long non-coding RNA of Brassica napus (rape), 5796 nucleotides long. RefSeq lists it as uncharacterized. The record is from RefSeq and is a predicted model, not a curated record. NCBI's taxonomy places the organism in Eukaryota, Viridiplantae, Streptophyta, Magnoliopsida, Brassicales, Brassicaceae. The transcript has 4 exons.